RNAcentral lists this ribosomal RNA (253 nucleotides) under uncultured bacterium. Its description in RNAcentral is "partial 16S ribosomal RNA". It matches the Rfam family "Bacterial small subunit ribosomal RNA", at positions 524 to 777 of the family's 1533-position model. The record is from RNAcentral.
UACAGAGGGGGCAAGCGUUGUUCGGAAUUACUGGGCGUAAAGGGCGCGUAGGCGGCCUUCUAAGUCGAACGUGAAAUCCCCGGGCUCAACCCGGGAACUGCGUCCGAUACUGGAAGGCUUGAAUCCGGGAGAGGGAUGCGGAAUUCCAGGUGUAGCGGUGAAAUGCGUAGAUAUCUGGAGGAACACCGGUGGCGAAGGCGCAUCCUGGACCGGCAUUGACGCUGAGGCGCGAAAGCCAGGGGAGCAAACAGGG